RNAcentral lists this long non-coding RNA (614 nucleotides) under Lathyrus oleraceus (garden pea). RNAcentral describes it as "Pisum sativum (pea) long non-coding RNA (PSAT_LNC009865)". The record is from RNAcentral. Lineage: Eukaryota; Viridiplantae; Streptophyta; Magnoliopsida; Fabales; Fabaceae.
ACAUGCUCGCCUUAACUUGGGAUCAUCGCCGAGGAAUUAAUCAUUAAAAACAACUACUCGAACAAAUGGUUCAAAUAUAACUCUUAUUUAAACUUAAACUCAAUUAGAGCAAUAUGCCUUCAACACCAAAGAAAUUCAAAAUCUAGGAGUUAUAACAUUCAAUCUCGCAACAAUAAAUCAAAAUAAAAAGAAACAUAACCUUCGUCCACCAAGUGUUACAAAUCAGAUAACCGAUAGUCUAAAUACGCAUAAAAUUGGAAAAAAAGAAUAUCCUCAGUGCCAUCAUUCAUCUCUAAAGCAGCUACUCAUGUACCUGCUUGUCUGUACCCCAAGAAGAAACACAUAACACCAUAAUAAAACAAAGGGGUGAGAAGAAUACAUUCAAAAUAUAUAUGGUGUAAUAGAAUGCAAGGAUAGCCUAAAGAAAAAACGUUAACUUUCAUGCAUUUCAAUUACAUAAAUCAAUACACCUAUGACUUAAUAACACCCACAACAAUCAUUUGUAUAACCUUUAUGUGAUGCAAUACAACAAUGACUCAAUUCAUGCAUGUGAUACCAAUUCAACAAAGGUUCAUCAUAUAGACCAGGUCCCAACAUCUGAGCCCAGAGUUUCC